GGAGGGUUGGGUGAGUGGUUUAAACCAGCGCUCUGCUAAGGCGCCGGCCCUUCGGGGUCCGUCAGUUCGAAUCUGACACCCUCCA
RNAcentral lists this transfer RNA (85 nucleotides) under Caudoviricetes sp. RNAcentral's name for it is "tRNA-Ser". It matches the Rfam family "tRNA". Rfam says of the family: Transfer RNA (tRNA) molecules are approximately 80 nucleotides in length. The record is from RNAcentral. Lineage: Duplodnaviria; Heunggongvirae; Uroviricota; Caudoviricetes.